This is a long non-coding RNA of Pygocentrus nattereri (red-bellied piranha), 345 nucleotides long. RefSeq lists it as uncharacterized. Lineage: Eukaryota; Metazoa; Chordata; Actinopteri; Characiformes; Serrasalmidae. The transcript has 3 exons. The record is from RefSeq and is a predicted model, not a curated record.
CUCUGUCUCUCUCUCUCUCUCUCUCUCUCUCUCUCUCUCUCUCUCUCUCUCUCUCUCUCUCUCUCUGACGUACUGUGUGUGUAAGAACACAGGAAAUGCUGAGUGUUGAACACAGAACAGUCAGUCAGUCAUUACUGGGACAGUAUGGAGCUCAGUUCUCUCUCUGUGCCGCUCUUGCUGAUUGUGCUCAUCCACUGUGGACAAACUCAAGCAGGUAAACCCAGACUGAGAGUGGAUCCUCAGAGCUCAGUCUAUACUGGAGACACAGUUACUCUGAGCUGUGAGCCGCCGUAUCAGUCUACUGGCUGGCGAUUUUACUGGAAGAAAGACUCUCAGACUAUAAAU